AUGGGCCUCGUCUACGCGAGCAUCAGCUUCCCAAGCUGAAUGUCGUGGGUUCAAUUCCCAUCGCCCGCUCCA
RNAcentral lists this transfer RNA (72 nucleotides) under Microvirga tunisiensis. Its description in RNAcentral is "tRNA-Gly". It matches the Rfam family "tRNA", at positions 15 to 71 of the family's 71-position model. Rfam says of the family: Transfer RNA (tRNA) molecules are approximately 80 nucleotides in length. Their secondary structure includes four short double-helical elements and three loops (D, anti-codon, and T loops). Further hydrogen bonds mediate the characteristic L-shaped molecular structure. tRNAs have two regions of fundamental functional importance: the anti-codon, which is responsible for specific mRNA codon recognition, and the 3' end, to which the tRNAs corresponding amino acid is attached (by aminoacyl-tRNA synthetases). tRNAs cope with the degeneracy of the genetic code in two manners: having more than one tRNA (with a specific anti-codon) for a particular amino acid; and 'wobble' base-pairing, i.e. permitting non-standard base-pairing at the 3rd anti-codon position. The record is from RNAcentral. Lineage: Bacteria; Pseudomonadati; Pseudomonadota; Alphaproteobacteria; Hyphomicrobiales; Methylobacteriaceae.